GCCGCGGUGGCGGAAUUGGUAGACGCGCUAGAUUUAGGAUCUAGUAAGCUCAGCUUGUGGAGGUUCGACCCCUCUCCGCGGUA
RNAcentral lists this transfer RNA (83 nucleotides) under Fidelibacterota bacterium. RNAcentral describes it as "tRNA-Leu". It matches the Rfam family "tRNA". Rfam says of the family: Transfer RNA (tRNA) molecules are approximately 80 nucleotides in length. Lineage: Bacteria; Pseudomonadati; Fidelibacterota. The record is from RNAcentral. RNAcentral also lists the same sequence under 1 other name.